GAAGUUUCUUGGUACCAAUAGCUCUUUCAUCUUAAAUUAACCAAUUUCUAUUAAUCUAUAUUUUGCCACAUGGCCAUGGCAUUGCCAGUCUGCUGGCAUCUUAAUACUUGGGUAGCUGGAUGGCAUCUGUUCUGACUCCACCUCUUCUUUUUAUAUCUCUUUUAAA
Non-coding RNA from Peromyscus maniculatus bairdii (prairie deer mouse), 166 nucleotides. The record is from RefSeq and is a predicted model, not a curated record. NCBI's taxonomy places the organism in Eukaryota, Metazoa, Chordata, Mammalia, Rodentia, Cricetidae.